Molecule: RNA transcript, 690 nt
Organism: Mandrillus leucophaeus (drill)
Lineage: Eukaryota; Metazoa; Chordata; Mammalia; Primates; Cercopithecidae
Gene name: ubiquitin-40S ribosomal protein S27a pseudogene
Exons: 1
Source: RefSeq, a predicted model, not a curated record
AUGAUAAUAUUCAAUGUGACUAAGACUUUAGAAAGCCAAUUAACUGUUUUCUACAUUGGUUUAUAUAUAUUCUCUGGAGGUCAAUUGAAAAAGCAAUUUCAAAAUUUUAAAAUAUCAAUUUUCUUUGAAGAAAAGCUGCAAUUCGCUUUUCGAUCCGCCAUCUGCGGUGGAGCCGCCACCAAAACUCAGAUUUUCAUGAAAACCCUUACGGGGAAGACCAUCACCCUCGAGGCUGAACCCUCGGAUACGAUAUAAAAUGUAAAGGCCGAGAUCCAGGAUAAGGAAGGAAUUCCUCCUGAUCAGCAAAGACUGAUCUUUGCUGGCAAGCAACUGGAAGAUGGACGUACUUUGUCUGACUACAAUAUUCAAAAGGAGUCUACUCUUCAUCUCGUGUUGAGACUUCGUGGUGGUGCUAAGAAAAGGAAGAAGAAGUCUUACACCACUCCCAAGAAGAAUAAGCACAAGAGAAAGAAGGUUAAGCUGGCUGUCCUGAAAUAUUAUAAGGUGGAUGAAAAUGGCAAAAUUAGUCGCCUUCAUCGAGAGUGCCCGUCUGAUGAAUGUGGUGCUGGGGUGUUUAUGGCAAGCCACUUUGACAGACAUUAUUGUGGCAAAUUUUGUCUGACUUAUUGCUUCAACAAGCCAGAAGACAAGUAACUGUAUGAGUUAAUAAAAUACAUGAACUAACAAAAA